AGCCCCGGGGUGUGUAGACAUAUUAGGUUGCAAACCUAAAGAAGCAGGUUAGCGCCUGCCGGGGCUU
RNAcentral lists this transfer RNA (67 nucleotides) under Lates japonicus. RNAcentral's name for it is "tRNA-Cys". It matches the Rfam family "tRNA". From Rfam's summary of the family: Transfer RNA (tRNA) molecules are approximately 80 nucleotides in length. Their secondary structure includes four short double-helical elements and three loops (D, anti-codon, and T loops). Further hydrogen bonds mediate the characteristic L-shaped molecular structure. tRNAs have two regions of fundamental functional importance: the anti-codon, which is responsible for specific mRNA codon recognition, and the 3' end, to which the tRNAs corresponding amino acid is attached (by aminoacyl-tRNA synthetases). tRNAs cope with the degeneracy of the genetic code in two manners: having more than one tRNA (with a specific anti-codon) for a particular amino acid; and 'wobble' base-pairing, i.e. permitting non-standard base-pairing at the 3rd anti-codon position. The record is from RNAcentral. Lineage: Eukaryota; Metazoa; Chordata; Actinopteri; Centropomidae.